UACCAUUGACUAUCGAACAGCCACCCCCCAAGAAGUGUUAGAGUGAGUGAAUAGUAUAAAUUAAUGUGCAGGUAUGUACUACAUGUACAUGUCCCCCGUUUAAUCAAUUGGUUAGUGGACUCGUUCAGUCGCCAUAACUUGAAUUCCGUGGAUCCAAUUUUAUGAUUUUCUGAAAGCUUAGAAAAAGACCUUUCAAAUAGUACCAGAUAUUUGGGAGAUGUCAGAUUUAGCACGAUACCAUGUCAGAGUUUCAUCUAGGAUUUUAAGUUUGGGGGGGAAAACCGCGCACGCCAGCGUGAAAGUUUGGAGGCCACGCCAACUUCUGGUUACCACACCCCUUGUUGUUGGUGCCUAUUAGCAACUCCAUGUAACUUGGUAUGCUGGUUGUUAUUGUGCACCGUAUACAACACUAGAAACCACAUGUACCAAAAGCAAUGAAUAGAUUUGUGGUAAGACAGACAAUCAUCCUCUAGCAAAAGACGUGUGUUGGGUCUAGUACUCAAACUCUCCCCUUUCUUUUGGGGGGGAAGCUUCCCGCCCCCCCCCCCCCACUAUAUGAAACCCUGCAUGUAAUAAUAGCCCAUGGUUCAAAGUUGAAUUAUGGCAACAUCUAAAUAUUGGAUUGAAAUACAUCAUUUGAAAGGUCUCUUUCUAAGCUUUCAGAAAAUCAUCAAAUUGGGGUCACAGUACUAAAGUUAUGGCUGCUGAAAGAUGUUCAACUUCUGCAACAUGUCUGUGCUUGAAUUAUAACUAGGAAGCAUAUGACGUCAAUAGCUCAGCGUAUGAAUGCUAAUGGAGAGGCUCGUAAACGUGGUGGUGGUAUGACCUGAACCUUCUCCCCCCUCACUCCUAUCAUACAGCGCCUCUACAGCAAGUCACAUGAGGUGAGAGACACUGUACAUGUGUGUAGCUUGUGUGCAAUACAGUAGAGUUACGUACGCACUGUAUCAUACCUGUUUGGUAGUGGCCAUGCACCGGGCAGAGGUUUGGAGGUCCAUUAACCUGGCUGUAUUAUAGACGCUACUUGUAGGGUAUAGACAGGUUUCAAUGUAGCCAACAGUAUAGACUUUAGUAGCUACCUACAUUGUUUGAUUUCUGUGCCCAGGCUGAUAGCAAGAGUGAGAGGUCCUCCAGGAGCCAGAGACACACAGAGUGAGUUAUCCUACACUUUACUGGGAGACCACUCGGCCAUUGCAUACACUUGCUAGUGUCACUGUGUAUUACCAAUCGUGUAUGUACACUAUAGCAGUCACUUUAGUUGCAGCAUUAUUUCUGUUCUUUAUAAAUUACCCCCCACCCACACACGCCCACACACUGUAGAGACGCUAGGAGAUCGGCUCCGAAAGUCAAGUUCUCUAAAACUAUUACCGAGUUUCCAGACUACAGUCGCUAUGACAAGCCCAGGUCAAAGUCCGUCCCAUAGUCACCAUGCAAGUUGAUGGGGACUCGCUAAUGAGGGUCAAAGGUGAAAGCUCGGAACACAUCAGAAAAAAAAAAUUAUUAUUAGCAUAGCACAAACUGUUCAUUAUUUUUAUUGCUUAUACUCAAGAUUUGUAUGUUACUAAUGAUAGUGUCAUUUGCCAUAUG
Halichondria panicea is the source of this 1587-nucleotide long non-coding RNA. RefSeq lists it as uncharacterized. The record is from RefSeq and is a predicted model, not a curated record. Lineage: Eukaryota; Metazoa; Porifera; Demospongiae; Suberitida; Halichondriidae. The transcript is spliced from 2 exons.